UCGGGAGGCAGCAGUGGGGAAUAUUGCACAAUGGGGGAAACCCUGAUGCAGCAACGCCGCGUGAAGGAAGACGGUCUUCGGAUUGUAAACUUCUGUUCUUAGUGAAGAUAAUGACGGUAGCUAAGGAGCAAGCCACGGCUAACUACGUGCCAGCAGCCGCGGUAAUACGUAGGUGGCAAGCGUUGUCCGGAAUUACUGGGUGUAAAGGGAGCGCAGGCGGGAAAUCAAGUUGGAUGUGAAAUGUCGGGGCUUAACCCCGGAACUGCAUCCAAAACUGAUUUUCUUGAGUGAAGUAGAGGUAGGCGGAAUUCCGAGUGUAGCGGUGAAAUGCGUAGAUAUUCGGAGGAACACCAGUGGCGAAGGCGGCCUACUGGGCUUUAACUGACGCUGAGGCUCGAAAGUGUGGGGAGCAAACAGGAUUAGAUACCCUGGUA
This 434-nucleotide ribosomal RNA is filed under the name uncultured Clostridium sp. Its description in RNAcentral is "partial 16S ribosomal RNA". It matches the Rfam family "Bacterial small subunit ribosomal RNA", at positions 341 to 792 of the family's 1533-position model. The record is from RNAcentral. Lineage: Bacteria; Bacillati; Bacillota; Clostridia; Eubacteriales; Clostridiaceae.